Molecule: ribosomal RNA, 1255 nt
Filed under: Drosophila biarmipes
Lineage: Eukaryota; Metazoa; Arthropoda; Insecta; Diptera; Drosophilidae
Description: SSU rRNA
Rfam family: Eukaryotic small subunit ribosomal RNA
Source: RNAcentral
AGUACUAUACCUUUAUGUAUGUAAGCGUAUUACCGGUGGAGUUCUUACAUGUGCUUAGAUACUUGUAUUUUUUCAUAUGUUCCUCCUAUAUAAAAACCUGCAUUAGUGCUCUUAAACGAGUGUUAUUGUGGGCCGGUACAAUUACUUUGAACAAAUUAGAGUGCUUAAAGCAGGCCUCAAAUGCCUGAAUACUCUGUGCAUGGGAUAAUGAAAUAAGACCUCUGUUCUGCUUUCAUUGGUUUUCAGAUCAAGAGGUAAUGAUUAAUAGGAGCAGUUUGGGGGCAUUAGUAUUACCACGCGAGAGGUGAAAUUCUUGGACCGUCGUAAGACUAACUUAAGCGAAAGCAUUUGCCAAAGAUGUUUUCAUUAAUCAAGAACGAAAGAUAGAGGUUCGAAGGCGAUCAGAUACCGCCCUAGUUCUAACUUUUAUGGCUCUUUCAGUCGCUUCCCGGGAAACCAAAGCUUUUGGGCUCCGGGGAAAGUAUGGUUGCAAAGCUGAAACUUGAAGGAAUAGACGGAAGGGCACCACCAGGAGUGGAGUCUGCGGCUUUAUUUGACUCAACACGUGAAACCUAUAAGAGGUCCGAACAUCAAUGUGUAAGACAGAUUAAUAGCUCUUUCUCGAAUCUAUGGGUGGUGGUGCAUGGUCGUUCUUAGUUCGUGGAGUGAUUUGUCUGGUUAUUUCCGAUAACGAACGGGACUCAAAUAUAUUAAAUAGAUAUCUUCAGGAUUAUGGUGUUGAAGCUUAUAUAGCCUUCAUUAUGGUGUUUAUUGUGUUUGAAUGUGUUAAUAUAAGUGGAGCCGUACCUGUUGGUUUGUCCCAUUAUAAAGACACUAGCUUCUUAAAUGGACAAAUUGCGUCUAGCAAUAAUGAGAUUGAGCAAUAAUAGGUCUGUGAUGCCCUUAGGUGUCCUGGGCUGCACUCGCGCUACAAUGAAAGUAUCAACGUGUAUUUCCUAGACCGAGAGGUCCGGGUAAACCGCUGAACCACUUUCAUGCUUGGGAUUGUGAACUGAAACUGUUCAUAUGAACUUGGAAUUCCCAGUAAGUGUGAGUCAUUAACUCGUAUUGAUUAAGUCCCUGCCCUUUGUACACACCGCCCGUCGCUACUACCGAUUGAAUUAUUUAGUGAGGUCUCCGGACGUGAUCACUGUGACGCCUUGUGUGUUACGGUUGUUUCGCAAAAGUUGACCAAACUUGAUUAUUUUGAGGAAAUAAAAGUCGUUACAAGGUAACGUAGGUGAACCUACGGAAG